Long non-coding RNA from Mus musculus (house mouse), 1512 nucleotides. RefSeq annotates it as predicted gene, 52912. The transcript has 2 exons. The record is from RefSeq and is a predicted model, not a curated record. NCBI's taxonomy places the organism in Eukaryota, Metazoa, Chordata, Mammalia, Rodentia, Muridae.
CUGCUGCCUCGCUCUGGGGAAAGACAGUGGAGGGGCCACAGUUAAUGGUUAGCUGCAGAUAACUGACUAUAUAAGGGCCUGAAGAACCCAGUCUUGAGCCUGCCUGGGCCUCCUGGAAGGCAAGGGUGCAUGUGGGUGGUACUUUGGGAGCCCAGGCUGCCUUGCUGGCCUUCUCCAGUCUAGGAGCUCGUCCAAGCAGUAUACACAUACCACAGCUUGCCCCCAAGGAUACUGUUAACCGCCAAACCUAUGGUGAAGUGCACCAGCAUGGAAGCCACCUGUCUCCAAUCCUUCAACAUCCCAAGCCUUAGCAGACUGAGCCCACUCUACUAAAGGUCUUCAUGGGAGAGAAUACCAAUUGUUCUACUGUAAGGUACCAGGCCACCAGGAAGACAAGGAGGAUGCCUCAUGCACCUGGAAUAGACUGCUUCUCCACGACAAUACCCGAGCACCGCAGCUGUCUCAGGGUAGAUAGCCUGGAAUUUCAAGAGGUGGCGCUUCAGGGCAUACAGAGGGUGGUUCUUGUAUGUGCUGAUGGAGGUGGGCAAAGGCUGGUCCAGGUGCUUCGCCUGAAACUGCAAAGGCCAAACACAGUGGUGAGCAUGCUUCUGACAAGGAAGGGGUUAUGAAUAGACCGCUAGAUAUGAGCCUGUUCUGACAACAGACAGCGGAGCCCAGACCCAUCAGCAACUUGGUGACACCGCCAGUCACUGUGGCCAUGAGGUGCAGCGAGGAAAGCCAGGAAGUACUAGUAACUGUGAUGUGCACCUACAUCAGAAAGGCACCUGUCUCCAAUCUUCAACAUCCUAAGCCGUAACAAUUAACAGACCGAGCCCACUCUACUCAAGAUCUUCAUGGGAGAGAAUACCAACUUUCCCACUGUAAGGCCUAACCUCAUGGCAAUGCCAUCUGAUAGUAAAAGCGGGCUUGACGGGCUUAAGCAACCACCCUACAGCUUUCCUGAAAUUCACACAAGUCUUGUACUUCAGUAAGAACUUUGGGUUAUCAGUUAUCCGUAGUAAAUCCCACUGCUUUGAGGCAAAUCCUGCUUCCCAACCUGACUUAAUUUCCUCUUGGCAUCUGAAACACCAAGAGGCUCCUACAGACUGGCACCAUUGUGUUGGUUGGUUUUUGUUGUUGUUGUUGUUGUUGUUUUUUCCAACUUGACACAAACCUAGACAUAUCUAGGAAGGGAGAUCUCAACUGAGGCACUGCCUCCAUCAGACAGGCCUAUGGACAAUGUCUGUGGGGCAUUUUCUUGAUUGUUGAUUGAUGUAGGAGGCCCAGCCCACUGUAGGGCAAUGCCACCCCUUAGCAGGUGAUCCCGGAAGGUAUAAAGGUAGCUGAAUGUGAAUGUGGAGACCAAGUCCAUAAGCAUCUUUCCUCCAUGUUCCUGUCUCCGCUCCUGCUUGAGUUCCCGCCCUCAAGGAUGGACUGUGAUGGGGAUGUGUAAGCCAAAUGUUUGUGUGAUAAUUAAACGCAAUCAAAUAAAUAGAAAAGUAUGUCUUCCUA